ACGCUAGCUACAGGCUUAACACAUGCAAGUCGAGGGGAAACGGCAUUUAGUGCUUGCACUGAAUGGACGUCGACCGGCGCACGGGUGAGUAACGCGUAUCCAACCUACCCAUUACUGUGGGAUAACCUGCCGAAAGGCAGACUAAUACCGCAUGGUCUUCGAUGACGGCAUCAGAUUUGAAGUAAAGAUUUAUCGGUAAUGGAUGGGGAUGCGUCUGAUUAGCUUGUUGGCGGGGUAACGGCCCACCAAGGCAACGAUCAGUAGGGGUUCUGAGAGGAAGGUCCCCCACAUUGGAACUGAGACACGGUCCAAACUCCUACGGGAGGCAGCAGUGAGGAAUAUUGGUCAAUGGGCGCGAGCCUGAACCAGCCAAGUAGCGUGCAGGAUGACGGCCCUAUGGGUUGUAAACUGCUUUUGUAUGGGGAUAAAGUCAAUCACGUGUGAUUGUUUGCAGGUACCAUACGAAUAAGGACCGGCUAAUUCCGUGCCAGCAGCCGCGGUAAUACGGAAGGUCCGGGCGUUAUCCGGAUUUAUUGGGUUUAAAGGGAGCGUAGGCCGGAGAUUAAGUGUGUUGUGAAAUGUAGACGCUCAACGUCUGACUUGCAGCGCAUACUGGUUUCCUUGAGUACGCACAACGUUGGCGGAAUUCGUCGUGUAGCGGUGAAAUGCUUAGAUAUGACGAAGAACUCCGAUUGCGAAGGCAGCUGACGGGAGCGCAACUGACGCUUAAGCUCGAAGGUGCGGGUAUCGAACAGGAUUAGAUACCCUGGUAGUCCGCACAGUAAACGAUGGAUGCCCGCUGUUGGUACCUGGUAUCAGCGGCUAAGCGAAAGCAUUAAGCAUCCCACCUGGGGAGUACGCCGGCAACGGUGAAACUCAAAGGAAUUGACGGGGGCCCGCACAAGCGGAGGAACAUG
Molecule: ribosomal RNA, 917 nt
Filed under: uncultured bacterium
Lineage: Bacteria
Description: bacterial SSU rRNA
Rfam family: Bacterial small subunit ribosomal RNA
Source: RNAcentral